Molecule: small nucleolar RNA, 107 nt
Organism: Dioscorea cayenensis subsp. rotundata (Guinea yam)
Lineage: Eukaryota; Viridiplantae; Streptophyta; Magnoliopsida; Dioscoreales; Dioscoreaceae
Source: RefSeq, a predicted model, not a curated record
AACCCAUGUUGAGGACAUUUCCAUAGGAGCUCCUUAAACCUAUUCCAUGUCUCAAAAAGAGACUCAAAUUCCAUUUGUACAAAAGCAGAUAUUUCAUACCUAAGCUU